RNAcentral lists this ribosomal RNA (387 nucleotides) under Prasinoderma sp. RNAcentral describes it as "partial small subunit ribosomal RNA". It matches the Rfam family "Eukaryotic small subunit ribosomal RNA", at positions 582 to 975 of the family's 1831-position model. Lineage: Eukaryota; Viridiplantae; Prasinodermophyta; Prasinodermophyceae; Prasinodermales; Prasinodermaceae. The record is from RNAcentral.
AUUCCAGCUCCAAUAGCGUAUAUUUAAGUUGUUGCAGUUAAAAAGCUCGUAGUUGGAUUUUGGGUCGGGGGUACCGGUCCGGUGUUUCACUGUGCACUGGUCUCCCCUUCCUUUCUGCCGGGGACGGCGUUUGCUCUUAAUUGGGCGGCGUCGGAGUCGGCGUUGUUACUUUGAAAAAAUUAGAGUGUUCAAAGCAAGCCAUCGCUCUGAAUACAUUAGCAUGGAAUAACAUGAUAGGACUCCGGUCUUAUUUUGUUGGUUUCCGAGACUGGAGUAAUGAUUAAGAGGGACAGUCGGGGGCAUCCGUAUUUCAUUGUCAGAGGUGAAAUUCUUGGAUUUAUGAAAGACGAACUUCUGCGAAAGCAUUUGCCAAGGAUGUUUUCAUCA